Molecule: ribosomal RNA, 687 nt
Filed under: uncultured bacterium
Lineage: Bacteria
Description: bacterial SSU rRNA
Rfam family: Bacterial small subunit ribosomal RNA
Source: RNAcentral
GAUGCGCAAGAGGGCAGCGGGAGUGGCGGACGGGUGCGUAACACGUGAGCGACCUGCCGUUGUGUGGGGGAUAACCGGGGGAAACUCCGGCUAAUUCCGCAUGGGCCCUGGGGCUGCAUGGCCCGGGGGUGAAAGGUCCUUUCGGGGACUGCGCAACGAGGGGCUCGCGGCGUAUCAGCUAGCUGGUGGGGUAACGGCCUACCAGGGCGAUGACGCGUAGCUGAUCUGAGAGGAUGAUCAGCCACAUUGGGACUGAGAUACGGCCCAGACUCCUACGGGAGGCAGCAGUGGGGAAUCUUGCGCAAUGGCCGAGAGGCUGACGCAGCGACGCCGCGUGCGGGAGGACGCUCUUCGGGGUGUAAACCGCUGUCGGGAGGGACGAAGAUCCUGGGGAGGCAAUGCCCCGGGGGUGACGGUACCUUCAGAGGAAGCACCGGCUAACUCCGUGCCAGCAGCCGCGGUAAUACGGAGGGUGCGAGCGUUGUUCGGAAUUACUGGGCGUAAAGGGCGCGUAGCGGCCGUUUAAGUCUACCUGUGAAAGGCCGGGGCUCAACCCCGUGCUGGCAGGAGAUACUGGGGGGGCUGGAGACAGGCAGAGCGGGUGGAAUUCCGGUGUAGCGGUGGAAUGCGUAAGAUCCGGAGACACCGGGGGGCGAAGCGCUCGCUGGGCCUGUCUGACGCUGAGCG